CCUACGGGAGGCUGCAGUGGGGAAUAUUGGACAAUGGGGGGAACCCUGAUCCAGCCAUGCCGCGUGUGUGAAGAAGGCCCUCGGGUUGUAAAGCACUUUCAGUGAGGAAGAACGCCUGGUGGUUAAUACCCAUCAGGAAAGACAUCACUCACAGAAGAAGCACCGGCUAACUCCGUGCCAGCAGCCGCGGUAAUACGGAGGGUGCGAGCGUUAAUCGGAAUUACUGGGCGUAAAGCGCGCGUAGGUGGCUUGAUAAGCCGGUUGUGAAAGCCCCGGGCUCAACCUGGGAACGGCAUCCGGAACUGUCAAGCUAGAGUGCAGGAGAGGAAGGUAGAAUUCCCGGUGUAGCGGUGAAAUGCGUAGAGAUCAGGAGGAAUACCAGUGGCGAAGGCGGCCUUCUGGACUGACACUGACGCUGAGGUGCGAAAGCGUGGGUAGCAAACAGGAUUAGAUACCCCUGUAGUC
This 465-nucleotide ribosomal RNA is filed under the name Vreelandella stevensii. Its description in RNAcentral is "partial 16S ribosomal RNA". It matches the Rfam family "Bacterial small subunit ribosomal RNA", at positions 338 to 795 of the family's 1533-position model. The record is from RNAcentral. Lineage: Bacteria; Pseudomonadati; Pseudomonadota; Gammaproteobacteria; Oceanospirillales; Halomonadaceae.